UGACAGGGGAAGGGAAGGGUGAGUGUGGCAGGGAUCCCUUCCCUCUCCUGGCAUGCUUUCCUGCCGCUGCCGGGCCUCCCCACGGACAGUCGGACAGGACCUGACCUCACAGACGCGCGUGUGGAGACCUCGUGCAUGGGCACGCACAAUUCCGUGGCGCACAGGCAGGCGGCACACACAUAGAAAAGCUAGGCUGCUUGUGUGUUGGGCUUGCAUGUCAGUCUUGGUUGACCCCAGCCAUCUCAAGCUCUCCCUUCCCUCACUCCCUGCCCCCCAGACAGACAGACAGACACACAGGCACAUGCUCCCUCUACAGUAUUAACGGCCAUUUAGGUCCCCAACAACGUGAUACAACAGAUUGGGGAGCUAAGGGACUCCACACCAAGGCUCCACGUACUAUCAUGCCAACCAGCUCCAACUUCCUCAACCUGGCACCGCUGCCCCCUUCGUGGUGUUAGGCAGAGUAGUGGGCAUAGUGCCCAGACAGCAUGGCUGUGCCUCGUACUCCUUUAAUCCUUCUAUGGGACACAGAAGCAGAUGCUCGGUCCCUUGUAAUCCCCACCUGCCUCUCCAGUCACCAUCAAAGUGUUGGUCUUAACGCCCUCCAUGGUGGUGCUGAGCCAUUGCAGGAAUGGGAGAAACAUCCAGAUGGAGAAAGAAAUUCAGAGAAGUGGGCAGAAGUUCUCCCCAGUUUCCUUAGGGUAGGAAUGCACACAUCCAAGCAGGAAAAGUUGAACACGGCAGAUGCAGAAGGCAUGGGAUACCUGGCAACAUGAAACCACUGGGGUCCUUGGUCCCUGGGAAUUCCCUGAAGGGAGGGACUGGCUCCCCAUGUCACCAGGCCCCUCCCAGUUCCACAAACAGUCAUUAGAUCCACUAGGGAAAUAAGCUUAGAGGCCUCUGAAUUGAGUGGAGCCUUGGGGGUCCCUCCUCACCUUAUCCUACUUCCUUGGCCUCCCUAAGCACUGCCUCCCUAAGCCUGGCAGAGAGAAAAGCAAAGGUCGGCACACCCCACCUGGAGGAGGAGCCCCCUCACCCCGUUUUGUCGGCUCUCCAGGCUCCCCCGCCUCGGUGUGCCUCGGGUACACAUUCUGACCCUCUGCCUGCGACCCUCUGCCUGCGCGAGCCUGGGGGGUGAGCGGUGGGGGAGCAGCCCUGGAAGCGGGAUGCAGAGCUGAAGAAGCGGAGGAGGGAUGUAAAGACCCGACCCAGGCUCUCCUCCCUCCAGCGCGCCCCCGAGGCGGCGCGCCGCUCGCUCAGGCAGCAGAGGCUGGACCACGUGCGCGCGGCGUGGGGUCCGCGCGCCGGGCUGGUGGGGGUGUUGGAGGGCUGG
Molecule: long non-coding RNA, 1333 nt
Organism: Canis lupus familiaris (dog)
Lineage: Eukaryota; Metazoa; Chordata; Mammalia; Carnivora; Canidae
Exons: 3
Source: RefSeq, a predicted model, not a curated record